Molecule: ribosomal RNA, 500 nt
Filed under: uncultured bacterium
Lineage: Bacteria
Description: partial 16S ribosomal RNA
Rfam family: Bacterial small subunit ribosomal RNA
Source: RNAcentral
AUUGAACGCUGGCGGCAUGCCUUACACAUGCAAGUCGAACGGCAGCACGGGAGCAAUCCUGGUGGCGAGUGGCGAACGGGUGAGUAAAGUAUCGGAACGUGCCCAGUCGUGGGGGAUAACGUAGCGAAAGUUACGCUAAUACCGCAUACGAUCUAUGGAUGAAAGCGGGGGAUCGCAAGACCUCGCGCGAUUGGAGCGGCCGAUAUCAGAUUAGGGAGUUGAUGGGGUAAAGGCUCACCAAGCCGACGAUCUGUAGCUGGUCUGAGAGGACGACCAGCCACACUGGGACUGAGACACGGCCCAGACUUCUACGGGAGGCAGCAGUGGGGAAUUUUGGACAAUGGGCGAAAGCCUGAUCCAGCCAUGCCGCGUGCAGGAUGAAGGCCUUCGGGUUGUAAACUGCUUUUGUACGGAACGAAAAGGUUUGGCCUAAUAAGCUGAGCUCAUGACGGUACCGUAAGAAUAAGCACCGGCUAACUACGUGCCAGCAGCCGCCGUAA